Molecule: ribosomal RNA, 241 nt
Filed under: uncultured bacterium
Lineage: Bacteria
Description: partial 16S ribosomal RNA
Rfam family: Bacterial small subunit ribosomal RNA
Source: RNAcentral
GAUGAACGCUAGCGGCAGGCCUAAUACAUGCAAGUCGGACGGGAUUGGAGAGCUUGCUUUCCAUGAGAGUGGCGCACGGGUGCGUAACACGUAUGUAACCUACCUUUGUCAGGGGGAUAGCCUCUCGAAAGAGAGAUUAAGCCCGCAUAACAUCACGAUACAGCAUUGUAAUGUGAUCAAAUAUUUAUAGGACAGAGAUGGCAUGCGGAACAUUAGCUAGUUGGUAAGGUAAUGGCUUACC